AAACUGGAGAGUUUGAUCCUGGCUCAGAACGAACGCUGGCGGCGUGGAUUAGGCAUGCAAGUCGAACGAUCCCUUUCGUCAAGAGGGGGAUAGUGGCGAACGGGUGAGUAACACGUGGGUAAUCUGCCUUUAGGUUCGGGAUAACCCGUCGAAAGAUGGACUAAUACCGGAUGAGACCACGGUCCCCGAUGGGACUGGGGUUAAAGAUGGGGAUCCUGAAAAUGGACCUGUUGCCUUUAGAUGAGCCCGCGAACUAUCAGCUUGUUGGUAGGGUAACGGCCUACCAAGGCUAUGACGGUUAGCUGGUCUGAGAGGAUGGUCAGCCACACUGGGACUGAGACACUGCCCAGACUCCUACGGGAGGCUGCAGUCGAGAAUCUUUUGCAAUGCUCGAAAGGGUGACAAUGCGACGCCGCGUGAGCGAUGAAGGCCUUCGGGUUGUAAAGCUCUGUCAGCUGGGAUGAAUGUAAGGCGGUCAAUAACCGUCUUGCUUGACAGUACCAGCAAAGGAAGCCACGGCUAACUCCGUGCCAGCAGCCGCGGUAAUACGGAGGUGGCAAGCGUUGUUCGGAUUUACUGGGUGUAAAGGUCAUGUAGGCGUCUUAUUAAGUCGGAUGUGAAAUCCCUUGGCUCAACCAAGGAACUGCAUUCGAUACUGGUAAGAUUGAGUACGGGAGAGGAAAGCGGAAUUCCGGAAGUAAGGGUGAAAUCUGUAGAUAUCCGGAAGAACACCAUUAGCGAAGGCGGCUUUCUGGUCCGAUACUGACGCUGAAAUGAGAAAGCUAGGGGAGCAAACA
Molecule: ribosomal RNA, 797 nt
Filed under: Candidatus Omnitrophota bacterium
Lineage: Bacteria; Pseudomonadati; Candidatus Omnitrophota
Description: bacterial SSU rRNA
Rfam family: Bacterial small subunit ribosomal RNA
Source: RNAcentral